UCUGUGACGCUCUGCCUGGGACUUGGAUCUUUCGUCUUCACCAGUAACCGGGCGACCCAGACGAGGAACAGCAAUGGGAAAGUGAAAGACGGGACUACUGCCGGGAAUGAGGCCGGUCCCAACAGGUCCCUUUAUGUCAGUUGCAGGGAUCAGAGCCCGCCGGGAGUGAGAUUGCUUAGGCAUCUGAGCGUUCUCUUUUUAUUACUCUCUCCCAGGGGAAAGUAAAUAUAGAAGCAGCAUUUCCUCUCGAAGGUUUGGCGGAGAUCGGGCCAGUACCAGAGAAGGCAAGAGGCUUUUCCAAAGGGAAGGGGUCAGCGAGGGAGGGGGGAGGGGGGAGCGCCCGCACUCCCUGUACUCCCUUUUCAAAAGAACCGCAAUGGAGACUUGUUGACCGGCCCCGAGGCUCCGAGUGCGGGGACUAAGCUGAGCACUGGGCGCACCCGGGACGGCCCGCCCACCAGGGUUUGGAAGAGAUCCUGGCCACCGCCAAACCCAAAGCUCGCCCAGCUGCGCACUGAGCUAAGCCCAGCGGCCGGGACGCCUCCAGGAGCUCCACCUGCCGGGCACUCCGUUUGGCCCCCAACCCUCGCAUCUCUCCCUUCUUGGGGUGGGGGAGCAGAGAAGGGGUCGGAGAGAAACGGCGACCCGAACCGCUGGACGUUUGGGGAGGACCUAGCCCGGAGUGGGUCUGCGCGUCCACUCUACUGUCCAAGCGCUUUGCCCCGAGCAGGAAGCCCCCAGCCCGGCGCCGCGCCCGCGCGAAAUGACCCAACAGCCCUCCCCUUUUCCCCCAGCAGCUCCGCACGGUUCCCACGUUCUUUGGGGAUUCCUUCGCCCCAGGCAUCUCUCCCGCUCGGAGGGACUGAGGGUGGAGUGGGGCGCCGGACGCACCCUCUCUCCUGCAACAGGACCAACGCCACAGGUUGGGGAGCGCUGUUUCCAGCGUGCCCAGGAAACCUGGCCGCCUUGGAGGGGUGGCGCCGGUUCCAGAAGGAAGCUCGGCGGUGACUCUGACUCUCCACCCUGCACUGCCUCCAUCCAGCAAGAGCCACACUGAACACUUAAGGAAGAUUUGGCAGUGGCUGUUUUCUAAAAGACUUCUUAAUUCUUCCCUGGAAUAGCAGAUGUGGUGUUGGUGUUUGGAGACCUCCCUCACCCGGUCCCAGCAGCAUAAGGACAUAUUUUUCUUAGUUGUGCUAGCAUCUAAUGUGGAUGGCGCCCUCCCCACAAGCAAGGCAUGCUGCUAAGGAGCAUACAUCAUCACUGCCUUUAGUUUCCCCCAUAAACCUGUGUCGUGGGUAUGACUGUGAUAUCUAUCAUGGCGGUGAAGAAGCUACAGCUUAAAGAGGUUGAGCAAUUUACUCAAAGUCACACAGCUAGAAAAGAGCAGAGCAGGCUUUAAACCCAGAGCUGUCUGCUUCCAAAUGUGUAUUUUUUUUUUUUUGGAGACAAGGCCUUGGUUUGUUGCCCAGGCUGGAGUGCAGUGGCACCAUCUUGGAUCACUGCAGCCUCAAACUCCUGGGCUUCACAUUGAUCGUUAGAGAAAUACAAAUCAUAACUGCAGUCAGAUGCCAUACUGUCAGAAUGGCUAUUAUUAAAAAGUCAAAAAAUAACAGAUGCUGGCGAGGUUGUAGAGGGAAUGCUUAUACAUUGCCAGUAGGGAUGCAAAUUAGUUCAACCAUUGUAGAAAGUAGUUUGGUGAUUUCUGAAAGAACUUAAAACAGAACUACCAUUCAACCCAGAAGUCCCAUUAUUGGUUAUAUACCCAAAGGAAUAUAAAUGGUUCUACCAUAAAGACACAUGUACAUGUAUGUUCAUUGCAGCACUACUCACAAUAGCAUAGAUAUAUAAUCAACCUAAAUGGUCAUCAACAGUAGACUGGAUAAAUAAAAUGUGGUACGUGCACACCAUGGACUAGUACACAGCCCUGAAAAAGAACAAGACCAUAUCAUUGGCAGCAAGGAUGUGAAGGAGCUGUAACAAGACCAUGUCCUUUUCAGCAAGGAUGGAUGCAGCUGGGGGUCAUUUUCAUAAGCAAACUAAUCAAACUAAUGCAGGAACAGAUAACCAAAUACCACAUGUUCUCACUUUUAGGUGGGGUCUAAACACUGAGUACACAUGGACACAAAAAAGGAAUUGACAGACACCAGGGCAUACUUGAGGGUGGAAGGAGAGUGAGGAUUGAAAAAUUAUUGGGCAGUACGCUUAUUCCUGUGUGAGAUAAUCUACGUACCAAACCCCUGUAACACACAAUUCACCUACAACAAAUUUGCACAUUUGUCUGUGAAAUAAACGAAAAGUUUUAGAAGAAAAAGAAGAAUAAUCAGAAAAUUAAAUAUUUUUUAAAAUAUAUUUAAAGUAAAACUGGGAUGUGUUGUGUUAAAUGAAAUAAAAUGUUUAGGCCAGGUGCGGUGGCUCAUGCCUGCAAUCCUAGCACUUUGGGAGGCCAAGCCGGGCAGAUUACUUGAGGUCAGGAGUUCAAGACCAGCCUGGCCAACGCGGUGAAAUCAUGUCUCUAUUAAAAAUACAAAAAUUAGCUGUGCGUGGUGGUGCACACCUGUAAUCCCAGCUACUCGGGAGGCUGAGGCAUGAGAAUGACUUCAAUCCAAGAGGUGGAGGUUGCAGUGACCUGAGAUCCUGCCACUACCCUCCAGCCUGGGCAACAGAGUGAGACAGUUUCAAAAUCAAUAAACAUUUAAAAUUUUAAAUGAAAUAAAAUGUUUAAAAACAAACAAACAACAACCAAAAUUCCUCCUGGGCUUCAGUAAUCCUCCCGCCUCAGCCUCCCAAGUAGCUAGGACUACAGGCACACAGCAUGACACUCGCCUAGUUUUUUGGGUUUUUUAAAAAUUUAUUAUUUAUAGAGACGGGGUCUCCAACUCCUAGGCUCAAGUGAUCUUUCCACCUUGGCCUCCCAAAGUGCUGGUUUAUAUGUGUGAGCCACCAUGCCAGCCACAAAUAGUAACAAAAUUUCUUGGCACUCAUAGGAAGUGCCAAGCUAUUUGUUACCAUCUCAAGGGGCACACAGCCAGCAGAUGCUCUCAUAAGACAGAAACACAAGGGAUUCUGGGAACCCAUAAGAGGACGCUGAAACCAGCCUGGAGAAGCCCAGUUCCCCUAGGAAGAGGCAAUGGCUGUGCUGAGUUCCAUGAGUUAGAUGAGUGUGAUGAGUUGGCUGAGUGUGAUGAGUUUGAAUUAGUGAGGUGACAGGGGAGGUACAUUGAGUGCAGCCUCUAGUCAGAAGGGACAGUGGGGACAGAGGCAGGGAGAUGAGUCCUUUCAGCAUCAAACAGCUCUGUUGCUGCAGCAGAAAGGGGGAAGCCAGGCGUGAAGCAAGUGAGGCUGGAGAGGUGGGUGCAGCACUGCUCCAGGGCGCAGAGUGCUGAGCUGAGGUCAAGGAGAUUAGCAGCACCGAAGAGUGUGGGUGCCCCGGCGAUCCCCCAGGGCUUGAGAGCAGGGGGAGCACAGGAGGCUGUUGUACCCACCAGGUGAGAAGUUAUGGGUUUGUGGAAAAGUGGAUGGGGAAGAGAGGACUGAUGGCAGAAACAUCUGAAAGUUGUGCCUGAGCAGAGUGUGAGGGAGGAGGAAAAGCUGAGGCUGACUCUGCAGUUUCCAGCAAUUUCAGUGGUUGGCUGAACGGCAUCACCCAGCCCUCAUAUGUAAGGCCUGCUGUGUGCCAGGUGUCACCAGGAACUGCAGAGCAUGAGGAAGGCAAACAAGUCUUGUUCUCCUGGGCUGCUUUGGGGGUGGGGAUGGGGACAAAGAGAAAGAAAAGAUGAGCAUCAUUGAGCCAGAGACUCAGAGGUGGCUGCAGGUUGGGGAGUUGAAGAAGGUGAAAGGCCCAUGUUGCCCCCCGGGGAGUUAGAGCUCUGGGUCUGUAGCCUAGAGCUCAGCCCCUGACAUCAGCCAGUCGUCCAUGUGGGCCUAGCUCAGAAGGGUUCAAGAAAUAGAAAAGUCAGAGGCUGCGGCAAGAAUGCUGAGAGGGAAGAGGAGAGGGAAGAGCUUUCUGCGGGCUCCGGGCAAGCUGGACCUGGAGAGUGGGGCAGGACCGAGGGCAUCUUGUCUUCUUGUGUUCUCUCUCUCUGCUUCCCUUUCUUUCUUCAUCUUGCAAACGGCCCUGCCUGGCCUCCACCCUCCAUUCUACCAGUGUCGAGAGACUACUAGCAAUGGGCCCCGGUUGCCUUUCACAUUCUCAGGGUGAAUCUGAUGGUGUAGCUCUUCCUUUUGAAGCAGGCCUCAAGUCUCUGGUCCCAGUCCUAGCUGUCAUCAGGGGCCAAUGAGGCCAGGCGACAAGGUCCCACUCAGCAGCCGUUUGCUUGAGCUGACUGUCCCACCGGGGUGGCUAGGACCCAAUUGUGCUAUCUCUGUUUCACAGAUGAGGAAGCAAAGAAGUUAAGGGACUUGUCCAAAGUCUCAAAUUAAGUAAUCUCUCUUUCAAAACUAGGACUCAAAAAUGAAGUUUCCUGACUCCAAUUUCCUGUGCUUUAACAGAGCUUUUAGUUCAGGCUGUCCCAGGGCUCCAGCUGGACAGAGCUUUACCCCAGCAAACCCUUUGGUGGUCGCCUCCCUGAGCACUUCCUGUAACUGCAGCCCCCUCCCUCCAGGCUGGGGACAGCUCAGUAUCUCCACUUUGCCUGCCCCGUCUGCCCCUUUCCUCACUGGCUCCAGCCUCUUUAAUUGCCUCUUCCCUAAAUCCUCUGUAGUUUAUUGAUGGAGACUUGGCAAAUCCUGGAGUCUCUAGACAAACAAAAAUCAAUCAGAAAUGUAUGCAGGGUGAAUUCAAAACGGGAAUUCACUGCCUUUUCCAAGAACAAAACUGAAAAAGAAAAAAAACCCAACACUUAAAACCAUCAAUAGGAAUCUUGGGCCUCUGGAAGCUCAGCACUGUUUCCUCCUCUCUAAAACCUGGGUACAAUUUAACCCCUUGUGGCUUUGCAACAUCCACACAGGACUCAUUCACAUUUCGAUUCAAAUUCAUUGGGUUUUAUAAAUGUCCUUAUUACAUUCCUGUGACGUAGAGUAAACAAAAAAUAACUUUCUAGAGACCCAUGUAAUUGAAGAUCAAAGAGCCCAAGAAAGUCAGUUUUGGAAGUGGCAGAGGUAGGGCACUUUUAUUCCGACCCUGCUUUCAUACAGAGGUUGGUAAUUCUGAGAACCAGCAUGCUUGUCCACAUCACACUGCAGUUCAGGGGCUCAUGGUCCAGAGCCUGCACCUGCUUUUUGCGGCCUGAGUGUCCUGGGCCCUUUUUGGUCCCUAGGAUGGUUGAUGAGCAGGCCCAAUGGGUUUCUACUCCACGUGAGAAGUUGGCUCCUCCUCUCGAGACUCUGUGGGUGCUAGCUCAGCCUUGCCCUUUCCUCUCCCACUCCAGAAAGCACACUGGAUGCUUUUGCAAACUGCCCUCCCACCCUCAGAUUCUGAUAUGUCAUCCCCACUCUCCAGAAGAGAUCGAGAAUUGACCCUCCCUCAUCACCUUUCUUACUUUCCUCCUGAAAUCACGCAGGCAACUCUUAGCUAACCUACUCUUAGCUAACAGGGUGGAUUCUCAAACUCUCAAAAGGGUUUCUUCUCCAGUUAUUGGGGCUGGAGGACGCAAAAGGACCAAUUCUGUAGUUAUCUUCCCGUCAAAAUCAGAGGUUCCACCACUCAGUGAAUAGACGCGUCCUCGGUCUUUGGCUCCUACCAUUUCCCUUUUGUCUUUAUCUCACACUCCCUGGUUCACCUGCAGGCCCUUUGCCUCCCAUUUCCUCCUGUGAUUUCUAACCCAUGUGUAUAGACUAUUUCAGAGCUGUUUGGAAACUUAGAGGUCAAUACUGCACCCAACCCUGUGACCUGAUAUUAAGGAUGCAGGAAUCCAGGAAUAUGCCAGCUGAUGCUGGUGAGCAGAAGCAUCAGCCCCAGAGCCAGGACACAGUAUCCCAGCAAAGGCCCUUGUCCAUCUGCUUCUCUUCAGGGCUCCGCUGACCUUUCUCACCGGGCAGUCCUAACCCCAUGUCAUCCUGAGUAAAACUCAUAGCUUCGCUGAAAUAUGCCUGAGUUGUUCCGGUUCCUGGACAAUUGCCAAGGUCUUGAUCUUGGAUUCACUUCCUGGAUGAUUUUUCUUUUCUUUUUUUGCGACUCUUCCUGUGAUUGCUAAGAUCAUCAUUUCUCAGAUGAGGCUCAAGCAAAAAUUCAGCUGGACCAGAAUGGGCAGCUCCACAGUUUCCUCAGAGUCCCCAGGCCAGGCGAGCUCAGAGAGGAAUCAUUGCUUCAAUGCCUAGAAGCACUUCCUUAUCAGCAGAGCAAUGCCUUUCCCUUCUGGAAUGCUCUCCCAGACCCAGCCAAGCAGACUUCCUCCUCCAUCAAGGCACCCCAUAACUUCUUGAACGGAUUGAAAAGUUGAAAGGAUUCUUGCUAUCCUAUGAUACUUUUAGGCAAGAUUCAUUUCUUGCUUGAUAACAGAAAAUAAAGACCAUUUUUCUAGGUCGUCUCUCUCCAAAUAGACUAUAAAUGUGAACAGAAACUCAACAGAGGCCCCUUGGUAGCCAGUCAGGGCUGGCAAACCUCAGAUGGUUGGGUUUAUAGACUUGUUGGUUCAGGGAUCUGCUACACACCUACAGCCACUCACACUGAGUCAUCCACUUCUCUGCAGUGGGUGCUUCCUCCAGCACCUCACUGCCAGCAAGCUAAGCUCCCCAAGGCCUCUUGAAGCUGCCUGGGCACCACAUCAGGCCGGAAAAGCUCAGCUUCUUCAACCUUCUUCAUUUAGUGUGGCUGAACUUCUUCCACCCCUGACUCUUGGGUUACAGAACACCACUCUCUCCUGGUUCACAUGCCUGCCUGAGACAUCUUCCAGCUCCUCAGAUCCUGGGUGAACUCCUUAUCGACCUCUUUCCCCAUGGCUGAGUGGAUAGAUAAAGUAACAUUUUAAGUUAUCUUUUUUUUCUAAAGUCAUGUAUCUGGGAAAUUGGUAGGAACAGGGGAAGAAACUACUUAAGAUUGGCCCAAUCUUGUAGAAACAAGAUUUUAUUAGUAGCCAAGGAAAAGAGGUGGGUAGUGAUGGGGCUCUGGCCAAGCAACCCCGUGGGAGAUGGAAGUGGAACAGAAGGCAGUCUGGAGGGCAUGGGCACGCAUGUUGGUAUUCCUGCCACCAGAUACCUCUCCAAUAGGUCCUGCAUGCUGCCUGCAGCUCACCAAUCUGCCUACCCUUAGACAUGCAGCUUGUGUUUCCUUUAAAAGUGUCGAUUGAAUUUAUACCCCUCAUCUUCAAGGUUGGAAACGGGGGUGCUGAGCUAUGGCAUGGCUUACAAGAGCCACAUGAGCAGGUCCUGGUGGGGCUAGGGCAGGACUCCAGGCUCCCGAUUCCCAGCUGCUGUGCUGAUUGUGAACCCAGGGUCACUGUGGCCUCCAUGAUAGGAAAUGUUGUUACACCUGGCCAAGGGCCCUGGUCCUGUUCUCCUGCUCAAAGGCAGCCUUUCUCCAGCCCCAGACACCAAGCCAAGCUCCGCACUGAGUACAGUUUAGCACAUAGCAAAUGCCCACAGUGAUUCAUGGAAUGAGGGAAUGAAGGAGCAAGGCAUUCUCAGCAGUAGUGAUUGUGCCCUCAGGGGAUGAAAAUUGGAUCUUGGGCAAAUGUGAAAAAAAAAUCUCACCCACAGUAUAUAAUUGUACACACACACAGAGAAAGAAAGAAUGUAAAUGGAUACAGAGUUUAUCUGCGGCAUUAAAAUUUCAUAGGGGAGUGAUUAGCACAAAAUAUCUAACAAGACUCCUGGGGGAGUCCAUGAUGAAAUAAUAAAAGAGAGGUUAAGAAACACAGGAAUACAGGCUCUGGAGACCAGGUUAGAAUCUCUCCUCCAUCUCUUUCUAGCUGGGUGAUCUUGGAUAACUUAUAUCAACUUUCUUUACCUCAGUUUCUCCCUCGGUCAAAUGAGAAUGAAAAUUCUACUCACCUCAGAGGCUAUUGUGAGGACUCCAUGAGAUCAUCCAUGGGAAGAGUUUGGCUCAGUAUCUCUGCGUACAUUCACAACCAAUAUUAGAUACAAUAAUUAUUAAGAUGGCUGAAAAUGAGAGAGUCUUCCCACUAACGUGAUAACGUCAUGGGAAUCAGGACUCCUGUGGCAGAGAAAACAGAACUACCAAUCGUUGCAAUGGCCAUUACCCUACAGGCAAAAGAGACCUGCUCAGUGCUAAGUAUUGGAAUUGGAUCUCUGAUUUCAACCACCCAGCUCCCAUCUACCACCCACUCAGCUACCACCCUCCACCUACCUGAGCAAGGUGCCAGCUGCUUUGUUGGAUAGUAAGUUGCACAAAGCUCUUAAGGGACUUACAGACCUAAAGGGAGACAGGAAACUCUAUUCUUUUUCCUUUUCUUUGAAGCAGGGUCUUGCUUUGCUAUCAGGCUGAAGUGCAGUGGUGCAAUUACAGCUCACUGCAGCCUCAACUUCCUGAACUCAAGUGAGCCUCUUGCCUCUCAGCCUCUUGAGUAGCUGGGACUACAGGUACAUGCCACCAUGCUCUGUAAUUUUGUUCAUUUAAAUUAUUGUAAAUAUUAGAUCUCACUAUGUUGCCCACACUGGUCUUAAACUCCUGGGCUCAAGGUAUCGCCCCACCUCAGCCUCCCAAAGUGCCUGAGAUUACAGGUGUGCACCACCGCACUUGGUUAGAAAGUCUAUCCUCACUGGAAAAACAGCCUAAUCAAAGCCAGUGAGUCUCAAACUUUAACUUGUAUAGCAAUCACCUGGGAAUCCUUUUAAACUUUAGACCUGAUUCAGUCCAUCUAGAGUUGGAACGGAGAUUUGACAUUUCUGACAAGCUCCAGGUGAUACCAAUGCCACUGGUUUAAGCCACAGUUUAAGGAGUGAAGUGUGGAAGGAGCUGCUCUUUUCCAGUUUGCAAACUGGGGAAAUGGUGUUUUCCUUUCUCUGCUGAUGGCUGCAUAUUAUCUUGACACCUGAUGGGGUCCACAGUAAAGGGUCUAAAAAAUGUCACGCUGCGUAAAUUAUGGAAGAAAAUCUUCAAGGAGUGUUCAUCCUGCAACCAGGACUCACAGUGAGUCUCUGAAUAUUUUGAACACUGUGUUACUGUGAGAUCACUUCAGUGCUCCGGCCGGAUCACAUGACUAUACUUGUCUUUUAUGAUCAAAAUACAUAGGAGGAGAAAGGGGGAAAGAGACAGAGAGAAAGAAAAACAAGGGGAGGAGAGGGAAAGAGAAGGAUCACUGAAACACAGCUUCCUAACUUCCUUUUGGAAACAGCCUAAGGUAGCCAUAAUUUCUUCUGGAAGAAAUGACUGAGAGAAUAUAAAUGGGAAUGUUUUAUAGAGGAAGCCCUAGGAGGACAGAAUAUUUGAAACCAGGCCAGCAUAAUCACACAGUGUCUAGGGAUCUCAUUCUAUCACUAGAUUCGACUUUUUAGUAGAAUUCAAGUAAUGUUUAUGGAAUAUCUUAGAAUCAUUCAGAGUAUAAGAUUAGGAGACAAGAACCAGCAGCCCGUAGAUGUCAAGAAGCAGAAUUUUUUUUUUUAAUUAUGCAUUUAAGGAGCAGUUUCCUCAGGAGAAGCCUAACCUGUUAGCACAUAAAGAUGUGGCACCUUGGACUGUUCAGAGAACGAAGUUGUGAGUGUGCUUGGCUUAUGGAUUUGUUCUUUGAUCUGCCCCGACUGACCUGAGAGCUUGUUAUGGUUUGAAUGUGUCCCUCAAAGUCCACGUGGUGAAAACUUAAUCCUUCAUGCAACAGAGAAUUAAGAUGGGACCAUUAAGAACCGAUUAGUUCAUGAGGGUUCUGUCCUCAUGCUUGGACUAAUCAUAUUAUUGAGGGAGUAGUUUCCUGAUACAGAGCAAGAGUUUCUCCCCCUUUCUGUCUUGCUCUCUUGCACCCUUUCACCUCCUGCCAUGGGAUGAACAGCAUGAAGGCCCUCACAAGAUGCCAGUGCCAGGCACCUUGACUUCCCAGCCACCAGACUGUAAGCCAGUGAAAUAUCUGUUUAUUAUAAAUUACCCAGUCCCUGUGAUGCUGUUAUAGAAGCACAAGACAAAGAUAGGCCUCUUAGAAGAUUCCUAUCCUAUCUCACACAACGAUUCUUGCUUAAUUCAAAUGACAACUAGAAGUACCCAAGUGCUGAGUGCAUUAGAACCUAUGGUCUAGCCAACAGGUGAGCCUCCUUGGGAUGGUGCGUAAAAGUGGGACAGUUGUGGGGAUUGGUGAGGAAGAUUUUCUUGAGUGGGGAUUGUGAAUUGAUUUAAAUGUAUCCUUGAGGUUGUAGAGUCAGAGUGUCUGGGUUAGAAGCACCACAGUGUCUGGUGCAUCAUUUAUGAUCCCUGUGACACUGGCCAGGUUUCUUCAUCAAAUGAAACAAACAUAUGGGAUUAAAAUAAUACCCAUUUACUAAACAAGUAAGUAUUCUGUAGGAUGAAGCAUGCAAAGAAGUUAGCAUAAUAUUUGGGACAGAGUGAGUGCUUCAAAAUGGUAGUGAGUACAUUUAGGAAGUACCCAAGUUGUGGGUUAGGUGGGGAGGGGGGAACUAAGCUUAAGGAAAGAGCUAAGCACUUAAAAAGUUGUUUUUCUUUUAAAAAUUUUUUUUGAAAUUAUUUAUAUAUUUUUAGAUGGCAUCUCGCUCUGUUACCCAGGCUGGAGUGCAGUGGUGCAAUCAUGGCUCACGGCAAUCUCGACUUCCUAGGAUCAGGUGAUCCUCCCACUCAGCCUCCCAAGUAUCUGGGACCACAGGCACAUGCCACCACACCUGGGUAAUUUUUGUGUUUUUUUGUAGAGUCUGGCUUUCACCAUGUUGCCCAGGCUGGUCUUAAACUUCUGGGCUCAAGAGAUCUACCUGCCUCAGCCUCCCAAAGUGCUAGGAUUAUAGGCAUGAGCCAUUGUGCCUGGCUGCAAGUUGUUUUUCUAGCAAUGCCUUCCUUCCUGUGCAUAGAACCAAAUUCAAGCCCUGACUCUUGGCCAUAAAUACAGGCAUGAGCCACCGCACAGGCUUCUUGCCCACUUCUCACCUGCCCAGGCUUCUUGCCCACUUCCCACCAGGAAAGAAGCCAGUGUAGCCACUUCUGAGGCCCUCCUGCAAGAGCUCUGGAAAUGCAUGGCCCUUGCUUUUGAGUUUCCCAGGAUCUCCAUCUUUUCCAAAGUGAUUAUAUCUUUACUGUUUAUUUUUGUUUUUUUUUAAUAAUAAAAAUGAAACUUUACAUCUUUCCAAAUUAAUUACUCUUCUUUGUCAUUGGGUGUGUUUUUACUUGUGUUGAAUUUCAUCUUACCGAUGGGUCAUAAUUUCUAUAACUAUUCUCCCCCUGAGGGGUUGCAAUAUUCUAAAUAGAACAUAUAAGAACAUCUUGAUGCAGAUUAUCCUUUUCUUUUUUAAAGCAGCAUUAUUGAGAUAUAAUUGAUAUACCACACAGUUCAUCCAUUUAAAAUGUACAAUGUAAUGGUAUUUAAUGGAACAAAGCUUUGCAACCAUCACCACAACUAAUUUUGGUACAGCUUCAGUACCCUAAAAAGAAACUUCAUGCCCAUCAAGAUCCACUUUAUUCUCCCCAUCCCUCUCAGUCUUAAGCAACCACUGUUUUAUUUUCUGACUCUAUAGAUAUCCCUGUUUUUGAAAUGUCCUAAUAAGUGGAAUCACAUAAUAUUCCAAAAGCCCAUUUCAUUUCAUGGUCUUCUGCAAAUGCCUUCUUUCACUCAGUAGAAUAUUUUCUAGGUUCAUCCACAUCGUAGCGUCAGUACUCCAUUUUUUUAUAUCACCAAAUAAUAUUUCAUUGCAUGGAUAUACCACAUUUCAUUUAUCCUUUCGUCAGCUGGUGGCCAUUCGGGUUGUUUCCACUUUGUGACCAUUAUGAAUAAUAAUGCUGCUAUGAGCAUUUGUGUACCAGUUUUUGUGUAGGUACAUGUUUUCAUUUCUGUCGGGUCCACUACAUAGUCUUAAUCAGGCAUUGCUCUCUGUGGUUUCACACUUGUUCUUUUUUUGCUGGACUCACGAUCUCCCACUCCACCACAAAUCUGUUCCUCCUUCAGUGCACACUGCAGGGUCUACCACCUAGCCUGUUGCACAAGCCAGAAACUUACACGUCACCCUUUGCACCUUCCUCGGCUCCUCAUCCUCCACCCUGCUACAGCCCAUGUCUAGUCCAGUUGCAACUCAAAUAGAAGUAUUUCCCAGAGAAGCUUUGCUGAUAGAAUCAAUCAGGUCAUUCAUUCUUUACAUGCUUUACCCCUCUGUUUAUGUUUGUGGGAUUAUUUGAUUAAUAUCUGUUUGCUCACAGUUUUAGCUCAAGUGCUUAGCAUAGUGCCUGGUUUGUGGCAAGGCACGUAAACUUUUCAAGAUUGACUAUGCAUCCCACUCCCUUUACAACAUCUCACAGCUUCCAAUACACUAGCAUUGUCAGUAAAAGUUUGUUUUUUGAACUGCUUUUAUUUCACAAUUUUUAAAUUGUUACUUAUGUGCAGUAAAUGCACCCUUUUUAGAGUAUCAUUCUGUGUCUUUUGACAAAUGCAUGCAGUCCCGUAAUCACUACCACAAUUAGGAUACAGAAUCGUUCAUCAACCUUAAAAUUUCCCUGUGAUCCUUUGCAGUCAAUCCCUCCCCCUAAUCCUGUCCCCUGAAAACCUCUGACUUUUCUUUCACUUAGCAUAAUGCAUUUGUGAUUCACCCAUGUUCUUGCAAAAGUUUAUCCCCUCUUGUGUUGUAACAUUCCAUUGUAUAGAUGAAUUAUAGUUUGUUUAUUUAUUCCCCAGUUGAAGAAUAUUUGCGGUUUUAGUUUUUGGCAAUUACGAAUAAAGUCAGUAUAAAUAUUCAUGUACAGGUUUUUGUGUAAACUAAGUAUUUGAUUUUACUUGGAUAAAUACCUAGGAGUGGAACUGUUUGUUCUUAUGUUAGGGGUCUCUAUCUUUAUAAGAAACUAUCAAACUGUUUUCCAAAAUAUUGUAUCAUUUUGAGUGUGUGGGUCCCACUUGCUCUGCAUCCUUGCAACACUUUGUAUUGAGAGUUCUUUAUCUACUUUCUCUGGAUUCAAGUCGUUGAUCAGAUAUGUGAUUUGCAAAUUGCUUUUUCCAAUCUCAGACUUGCUUCAUUCUCUUUAUAAUAUCUUUCAAAGAGUAGAAGUUCUUAAUUUUGAUGAAGACCAAAAUUCAUCAAUUUCUCUCCUUCUCUGGAACAUGUUUUUGGUAUCGUUUCUAAGAACUCUUUGCCUAAACCAAUUCAUGGAAUUUUUCUCCUGCAUUUUCUUCAAGGAAUUCUAUAGUUUGCGGUUUUAUAGUUGGGUCUUUAGGCCAUCUUAUUUCGCUUUUAUUUUGUGAACUUUUUCAUCUACUUUAAGCCUCAAAUCUAGUCUAUUAGUUACCUACCUAUGUUGCCUUCCAGACUUCAAACUUCUUUCUUUCUCUCUCUCUCUUCCUUCCUUCCUUCCUUUCUUUCUUCUUUCUUUCUUUCUUUUCUUUCUCUUUCUUUUUUUCUUUCUUUUCUUUCUUUUUUUGACAAGAGUUUCACUCUUGUUACCCAGGCUGGAGUGCAAUGGCGCGAUCUCGGCUCACUGCAACCUCCGCCUCCUGGGUUCAGGCAAUUCUCCUGCCUCAGCCUCCUGAGUAGCUGGGAUUACAGGCACGCACCACCAUGCCCAGCUAAUUUUUUGUAUUUUUAGUAGAGACGGGGUUUCACCAUGUUGACCAGGAUGGUCUCGAUCUCUUGACCUCAUGAUCCACCCGCCUCGGCCUCCCAAAGUGCUGGGAUUACAGGCUUGAGCAACCGCGCCUGGCUCUUUUUUCUUUUCUUUUCUUUCUUUCUCUCUCUCUCUCUCUUUCUUCUUUUUCUUUCUUUCUUUAUUUCUUUUGAGAUGGAGUUUCGCUCUUGUUGCCCAGGCGGGAGCACAAUGGCAUGAUCCUGACUCACUGCAACCUCCAUCUCCCAAGUUCAAGCGAUUCUCCUGCCUCAGCCUCCUGAGUAGCUAGGAUUACAGGUUUGCACCACCACACCUGGCUAAUUUUGUAUUUUUAGUAGAGAUAUGGUUUGUCCAUAUUGGUCAGGCUGGUCUCGAACUUUCGACCUCAGGUGAUCCACCCUCCUUGGCCUCCCAAAGUGCUGGGAUUACAGGCAUGAGCCACCGCGCCUGGCCCUUCCAAGCUCUUUGAGGGAAGAGAUUGUGUUUUAUCACAUAAGCCCUAGAGUAAGCAUUGCCUUACAUUUUGAGCCUACACACCUCAAUUGCUCCCAUAGUCCCAGCCUGUGUUCAUGUUCCUAUUUUCUACAACACCCAGCGUCACACCUCUCACUUUAGAUACAGUACAGAUGUUACUGAAAAGAAAUGAGACCUUAGAAAGGCUUUAGGGCUCUGUAUCCCAUUGAGAAUUAAGACAAAUUAGCAUAACUAGGAAACAUCAUUUGUGGUCAUGCAAAGGCACUGACUGUAUGAGGCACACUUCCCAUGUGCAGACACUUGAACAACCCCUGCUAGCUCAGACCUCCAGAAAGUUCUUUUAUUCUACGUCGCCUUUUUUUUUUUUUUGAGACAGAGUCUCGCUCAGUCGCCCAGGCUGGAGUGCAGUGGUGUGAUCUCAGUUCACUGCAAGCUCCAAUCCCUGUGCUCAAGCCAUUCUCCUGCCUCAGCCUCCUAGGUAGCUGGGAUUAUAGGCACACGCCACCACGCCUGGCUAAUUUUUGUAUUUUUAAUAGAGGUGGGGUUUCACCAUGUUGGCCAGGCUGGUCUUGAACUCCUGACCUCAGGUGAUCUGCCCUCCUCAGCUUUCCAAAGUGCUGGGAUUACAGGCAUGAGCCAGCGCGCCUGGCCUCUAUGUUGCCUUCUUAUAACAGUGUUUAUCGAUUACCUGGAAAACAUGACUGAUGAGUUAUGUGAUUAACCAAAGUGCUCUGAUAGUGUAUUUUAAAAAUCUGAAACCACAUUCAGGUAGAAGGUAGCAGUGGAAACAGGAGUCAUGUGUGAGCUCCAAAAAUGGAAAGACAAUUUUCUAUCCUCAGUCAGAGUAGGGCCAGAUAUGAAAAGACAAGGGCCGUUUUUUCAGGAGCAAUUUUUUCCUACUUGCAUUUGUUUCUUCCCAAUAUGGAUGAGUUUUCAUGGAACAUCCACUUCCUGGCUGCUUGGAGAGAAGGGAAGGGGGCUUUCUCCAUUCAAGGGUUUCAGAUUCAGAGAUUCAAAGAAAAGCCCAUUCUCUCUGGAAGCUGACUUCCUGACCUGUUUUCAGAACAUUUUACAGGGGUUAUUCCUGGGUCAGCCACAGAGAAAGAGAGGCAUCCUUGGACAGCAAAGCUACAGAUCCGGAAGCCUUUGGCUAUCUUUAGAGAAGGGCAGAGAGCUCUUCACUUCUCCAAGUGUGUUAGGAGAUGCUUUCUCGUGCCUCUGCUUGGGCAAAGAAAAAAAUGGCCAAAGAAGGACAAAUCUAUUUCUUACCACUGGAAAGGCCUUUUAACACUUUUUUCUAGUAAGAGAUGGGGUUUUGCUAUGUUGCCCAGGUUGGAGUGAGUGGCUAGUCACACGCACGCUCCCACUACUGAUCAGCAUGGGAUUUUUGUCUCACUCCACUUCUGAUAUGGGCUGGUUUACCCCUCCUUUGGCAGCUUGGUAGUCCCUCCUUUCUGGAGUUCACCAUAUUGAUGCUGAGCUUAGUAUGGAUAUCCAUUCAGCACAGUGGACUACAGCCCAGAACUCCUGGGCUCAAGCCACUUUCCCACUUCAUCCUUCUGUGUAGCCAGGACUGCAGGACUACAGUUGGGCGCCACCACACCCAGCUGGAAAGAGCUGAAAGAACUUCAAAGCUUUGACAGAACAUUUUUUUUUUGAUGGAGUCUCACUCUAUUUCCCAAAAUGCAGGGCAGUGGCGCCAUCUCAGCUCACUGCAACCUCCAUCUCCGGGUUCAAGCGAUUCUCCUGUCUUAGCCUCCUGAGUAGCUGGGAUUACAGGAGAAGCCAGCUGACCCUUGCUCUUAUCUGAUGGGAUUGUAACUGGCAUCAACAUUUUCUAGCUUUUCAUUAAGAAGCUAUGUUUUAAGACAAUAGCAGGAACGAAAGAACCUAUUCUUUUUGUGCCAGCAUCCGUCCAGCUUAGAACAAAAUGUUAUUCAUGGCCAGGCUCCACCUUGCUGAGAAAGCCUGGUAUUUGUCUUUGCAGACAGUCCUUUUGACAUCCUCAGAAAGCCUUGUGGAGACCCCAGAGAGCUUAACUACCUUAGGAGGAAGGUGGCAUUUGGACUUGAUGGGAGGGGGCUACCCACCUGUCAGCGGGCCUCUCCCAGUCUUGGUUUGCCCUUCCCAGAUUCAACAAAAUAAUCUGCCUAGAGUGUUUAGCCCAGCACCUGGCACUUGGAGACCUGCAAAGAAUGUUCACGGCUGCUGCCAUCAGACCACACUCUUCUUAGCAUCUGGACUCAGAUACCUGGGCGUCUGAAUAUGGCUAGCUCCGGGGCUAGAAGCUGCUGAGGCUCUGCCCUGCCUCCAGCCCCUUCGGGAUACUCUGCGAGGGCCCACAGCUAACAUAUGCUAGGGGCAAAGCAGGAACAGCCUCUGCUCUGAAGGGGAGGCUUCCCAAGCCAACUUUUUUCUUUUUAUCUGAUGGGAAGGGCUGACUUAAGAGCCAGCAGCAGGGGACAGCACAAAUAAAUACAGAAAAAUCUCUUCAGGAGGUGCGAUUGUGCUCAGCUCAAUGGCAAGCCCUGGAGAGCAGUUUUAUCCAGUGGAGAUUGGAAAGUAAAAUAAAUGUGGUCCUAUUACCCACCCUUCCGCAGAGCCGACUCGCUACAGCCUAUCCCUGAGCUCUGCCGGAGUAGAAGGAACGUGUGUUUCAGAGUCCUGGUCUCCUGUGGGGAAGAAGGUGCAGAAGUGGGUUCUUAGGGCUGAGAUUCCCUGAAGCUUUGGGUGCUAUUUUCCCACCCACCCUGGCUUUCUAAGACGCUGCCAGCUCCAAGUCCCCGCCCUUCCCAGUGCUUUCUCGCCCACAGUGGGCCACCUCCAGCAGGGUGGGACUGACAGAAACACCCCAGCAAUGAGCUGGGGUUAGAGUAGCCUUCUUCCAGCAAUGGGCAAGAGGGGCUGGGGAGGACUGGUGCCUCUCUCCCGCUAACGAAAUGUCCCCCAAUACUCUCAGGACCAGCAGCUCAGCUUUUACAGCCUUUGGUUCCUUCGAAGUGAGUCAUACCAUUGAAAAGAUCUUUCUGGAACAAACACCACCUUUCAUGGGAACAAGUCUUAGCUCUUCCACAGGGAGUGUUUCUAAGCAUCCCUGGAGGAGACUACAACAAUCCUCCUCACCCAGGAAACCCUCGGAGCAGCUAAGCCCCAACCUGGAACCUUUGGAUGCUUCAUUUGAGGAGUCUGCCAUGCUGGAUGGCCACAGUGCUGUGGGGACACCUGUGCCCCUCUCUGCAUAAUACUUGCCCAUCAGCAGAGUUAAGGACUGGAGAGACCGGGGUUUGAAUCUCAGUCCCACCACUCAGAGACAGUCUCUCUGGGUCUGUUUGGAAGCAACCUAAGGAAUAUAUGAAAGAAACCAUAGAACAUGCUUAGUUCAGGGCUGGGCAAACAGAACGUACGACGUGAGAGCUACUUCAUUAAUAAAAGCCAUUUUUGUAUGAUGCAGGCUCUUGUUCUGCAGAAAUUCUCAUGAUAAUCUUUUAAGGGUCAGGUCCUCUAUGCUCCGCCACCUCCUUGAAGCAUCGUACAGAAGAAAUGCCUUUGAUAAAGCUGCCUGGGAGAGAGCAAGCAUGGGAUGUUCUGGGAGCUUGCAGUGGUUUGGCGAGAUCUGAAGGCAGGGCAUGAGAGGCAGUUGAGCAGUGGGUGGGGCAAGAUCCUUUCACUCCCAGCAAAGAUUAGCUGACUAAAGUCUAGCAACUGAAGUGAGGCAGGGGUCAACUUCCACUGAAGAGGUGGCCACCAGAGCCAAAUGCCACAGAGAGUUCAUAAGGACUGGAGAUGACCCCUAGCUCUGGUAAUUAUGGACCACAGCGGGGACACUCUCCCACGGUGAGAAGAACACAGACCUUGAGCUGAGCUCUCCUGACCUGUUUUCCAUGGUGGUGAACUAAACAUGCCUACCGUCUUGACAAUAACCUGUAUCCCACUUCCAGGGGAGGGUCAUGUGAAUACCAGUGUGACUGGGUCCUGGACAGGCUCAGCAGACACAGAGCAAAAGGCAGGCUGUGGUUGGAGUGGACCAGCUUGGACAUAGAUCCUUGUGUCUUCUGGCAACCCUAAAAUCUUGGCAGUGAAGGUAACAAGGAAGUUAGUAUCCACAGUUUCUUCAUGUAAAGUUUGAUAAUGCAGAGGAUGCCCAAAAUUGGAAGGAUGCUUUUCUCCUACUGCAUUCUAGCUUCCUACUAAAAAAUGGCCCAUUCACAGUGGCUCAGAGCUUCAAACCUCCUCAAACCCCCAGCUCUGUCCAAAUGAUGGGACUACACCUGCCGUGUCACAAAUCAAAUCAAGCAUCCAUGACACAGCACAGUGUAACGUCUCUACUAACCAUUUCUUUCCUUUAGUCGCUUGGUCAACGUGGUCUAGGCUGUUGCAUGCACAGUCCUGGAAUAUCCCGCUGUUAUUUGUUGCAUUUUCCCACCUACAUGACAAAAAUGCAUUCCUACAGCUUUGGGCUCGUUCUGAUGUUGUUUUGGUUAUUGGAAGUUGCGUUGGUGCUUUCUAAAAUGAGGUCAACCUUCCAAGGGAACCAGAGAAGGCGAAAUGAAACAGGAAUGGAGGCGUGUACGAAGAAAGCACACAACUUUAUUCACGAAGUUGUGAGGAUGACAGUGAUGCAGAGUAUAUGACAAAGGAGUGCAGUGAGUGCUGCUUGCAACAGGAGCGGGGAGCAGGUCAGGGUCACAGGCACAGCAGCGUGGAGCUGGCAGGGCCACCUUCUCCUCUGCACACAAGCACGUGGCACUCGGCGUGCCAACACACACCUGCUCAGUUUCAUGGGGAACACAACACAGCUUUUCAAAGGGAAUUCUUCUAAAUAUUUGCUUUCAUAUUUCCGAAAAGGGAGGGAGGGCAGGAAGAACUAUACGCCUUCCAACAUUUGAAAAUAUUCCAUAAACCCAACUUAAAAAUGAAAGAGCUCAGAGAGCUUCAAUGCAGAGCUGUCAGCAACUCACAGGAACCACACACAUCAUUGGACAAGUCUGUACAUAAAACCCCAAAAGAACAAGAGUUUUGCGGACCAUGGUUUCCUCUGCUGUAAAGAAACAUACGCACACAUGAUCAGUAAGCAGCUCACAUCUUCCUGAAUGUCAAGAUCAUCUCCGUCCACCUUUGGUCACUGGGGUCAGGAAGUGACUCAUGGGAACUGGACUCUUUGGAGAAACACUUUGGGGAAGAAUUUUAUUGAAUAACAACUGCCACUCAAUUAUACUAAGCUUCAGAAAUUGUUGGAUUUGUUUAAUUUUGCUGUGUAUGUAUUCAUUGCUUAGAACGUUUCUUUCGGCUUAAACUGACCAUUUCCCCCUUUCUUUUUGAGUUUUGCAUGAUUAAACUUGCCCAAAUAAAAACAUAACAAUCCAUAUGCAAAGCGUAUCUGUCACCACCUCCCACUGCUUCCUGGGCAGCAA
Long non-coding RNA from Callithrix jacchus (white-tufted-ear marmoset), 19512 nucleotides. RefSeq lists it as uncharacterized. The record is from RefSeq and is a predicted model, not a curated record. Lineage: Eukaryota; Metazoa; Chordata; Mammalia; Primates; Cebidae.